RNAcentral lists this long non-coding RNA (378 nucleotides) under Macaca mulatta (Rhesus monkey). RNAcentral describes it as "lncRNA (ENSMMUG00000059189.1)". The record is from RNAcentral. Lineage: Eukaryota; Metazoa; Chordata; Mammalia; Primates; Cercopithecidae.
ACACAGGAUUCCCUGAACCCACUGACGCAGGAACAUUCCGCCGUGUCUUAUGAAGAAGGCAAACGAAAGAACGAAUUCAAGUACCUGGCGUUUGAGCCGUCUUCGAACACUGGCAUUUCUAGUACAACUACAAAACUCUUGGGUCCCUCCAGAUGAAUAAAAGCUGUCCUCAGAUCCUCACUUACUCCUGUAAUACAGUGAGCAUCACAAAGUAAAAUGAAGUCUGAGCAAGAUCCCUCUUGGUAAAUAGUCUGCUGCUGAGUGCCCCAUGGCACUUGGCCACCGUGACACCAAUUUCAGAAGGUUAGAUCUAAAUGGCGAAUGUUCUUAAAAUACCUUCCUAAUUGUCUGUUGACUUUAAAAAUCAUAUUUAACAGU